AUGUAAAAACAAAACCGAAAAUAAAUACAUACCAAAAUUCAGGAUCAAAACAAAAAUAUAAGAUAACUCACAGAGAGCCAUAGAGAAGAAAUUCUUGAUCAAUUUUGCGGAAGCGUGAAGUCCGGCUAUGGUUUGAAAGUCACGAACCGAACUUGGGUGAUUUGGUUUCUCCCCCUGUCUCAGGCACUCUACCGUAUGGUGUGGAACCGAUAGUAAUUCUUCACCAGAAUGCGUAUGAGAAGGUGGCAGGACCAAUACACCUUUAUAUAGAGUCCAGAUCGACUUUCCAUCAAAGUCUGAUUAGAAUUUUAUUUAAAUCUGAAAUAGAUAGGAUAGGGAUAAAAUAUACCAUAUCAAGUAGUUCUAAAUCUGUUAGGAUUGACCUUUAUCUAUAGCAAAUCCUAAAUUAAAUAUGAUUAAUUGGGCCACAAUAUAUGGAAAUCCUAACACGAAUUGCUCAAUCUACACGCAAAAAUUAUAUAUAUAUAUAUAUAGAGUUGAGCUAGAAUACUAUCGGUAGUAAACGAGUCGUUUUACUACCGAUUUGUUUUUGAUAAUAGAGCUUCCAAAUUGAUGAUCGGCUCCGUUAAAUAUGAUCUAAACUAUUUAAACUACCUAGAAAUUAAAUUUCACGCACUUUCGAUAUUGUUCUUUUAUCCAUCAAGUGAACAGAAAAAUGAAUGGCUGAAAAUGAAUACUCUUUAAAAAAUGAUGAUAGGAGUCUUGUAAUCAAGAUCAAGAGUAUAGAUCUUGUUUUAAAUAGUUUAAAAAAUUUUCUAACAAAAAUUCAAUUGAUUUGGAUAUCUUUACGCCGUUAAACGAGAAAGCGCCUCUUAUCGACCAUUAAAAUUACAAAUUUUGAAACCCUUUGAUCAUUAGGCAAAUGAUGUCGAAAAGAUUUGAAAUUUGAUUUCUAAACACUUCGAGUGGUAUAGAUCAUGUUCAACGGAACCGAUCGUCAAUUUGGAAGUUCUAUCAUCGAAAACAAAUUGAUAGUAAAACGGCUCGUUUACUACCGAUAGUAUUCUACCUCAACUCUCUCUCUCUCUCUCUCUCUCUCUCUCUCUCUCUAUAUAUAUAUAUAUAUA
Molecule: long non-coding RNA, 1088 nt
Filed under: Ananas comosus (pineapple)
Lineage: Eukaryota; Viridiplantae; Streptophyta; Magnoliopsida; Poales; Bromeliaceae
Description: long non-coding RNA (ACOM_LNC015449)
Source: RNAcentral